RNAcentral lists this ribosomal RNA (253 nucleotides) under uncultured bacterium. Its description in RNAcentral is "partial 16S ribosomal RNA". It matches the Rfam family "Bacterial small subunit ribosomal RNA", at positions 524 to 776 of the family's 1533-position model. The record is from RNAcentral.
UACAGAGGUCUCAAGCGUUGUUCGGAUUCAUUGGGCGUAAAGGGUGUGUAGGUGGCGCCGUAAGUCGGGUGUGAAAUUUCGGAGCUUAACUCCGAAACUGCAUUCGAUACUGCGGUGCUUGAGGACUGGAGAGGAGACUGGAAUUCAUGGUGUAGCAGUGAAAUGCGUAGAUAUCAAGUGGAACACCAGUGGCGAAGGCGGGUCUCUGGACAGUUCCUGACGCUGAGGCGCGAAGGCCAGGGGAGCAAACGGG